Molecule: ribosomal RNA, 281 nt
Filed under: uncultured bacterium
Lineage: Bacteria
Description: partial 16S ribosomal RNA
Rfam family: Bacterial small subunit ribosomal RNA
Source: RNAcentral
GUGCCAGCAGCCGCGGUAAUACGGAGGGGGUUAGCGUUGUUCGGAAUUACUGGGCGUAAAGCGCUCGUAGGCGGUUCAACAAGUCGGUCGUGAAAGUUCAGGGCUCAACCCUGAAAUGUCGAUCGAUACUGUUGUGACUAGGAUACGGUAGAGGUGAGUGGAAUUCCGAGUGUAGCGGUGAAAUGCGUAGAUAUUCGGAGGAACACCAAUUGCGAAGGCAGCUCACUGGGCCGCUAUCGACGCUGAGGAGCGAAAGCUAGGGAAGCAAACAGGAUUAGAUA